This 234-nucleotide ribosomal RNA is filed under the name uncultured bacterium. Its description in RNAcentral is "partial 16S ribosomal RNA". It matches the Rfam family "Bacterial small subunit ribosomal RNA", at positions 118 to 351 of the family's 1533-position model. The record is from RNAcentral.
UGAGGAACAUGACCUUCGGCGGGGGAGUAGCCGGCCCAACGGCCGGGUAAUACCGCGUACGCUCGAGACCAGGCAUUUGGACUCGAGGAAACCUCCGGGGCAUUUCGAGGGGCUCGCGGCCUAUCAGCUAGCUGGUGAGGUAACGGCUCACCAAGGCGACGACGGGUAGCCGGCCUGAGAGGGUGACCGGCCACACUGGGGCUGAGACACGGCCCAGACUCCUACGGGAGGCAG